This 254-nucleotide ribosomal RNA is filed under the name uncultured bacterium. Its description in RNAcentral is "partial 16S ribosomal RNA". It matches the Rfam family "Bacterial small subunit ribosomal RNA", at positions 524 to 776 of the family's 1533-position model. The record is from RNAcentral.
GACAGAGGGUGCAAACGUUGUUCGGAAUUACUGGGCGUAAAGCGCGUGUAGGCUGCCCCGCAAGUCGGAUGUGAAAGCCCUGGGCUCAACCUAGGAAGUGCAUUCGAAACUGCGGGGCUGGAGUCCUGGAGAGGAAGGCGGAAUUCUCGGUGUAGAGGUGAAAUUCGUAGAUAUCGAGAGGAACACCGGUGGCGAAGGCGGCCUUCUGGACAGUGACGUGACGCUGAGACGCGAAAGCGUGGGGAGCAAACAGG